CUUUUCUCCAGUUCGUCCACCUCUCCAAGUUCACAUUCUCGUGCUUCGUAUCUGACUUAGCGGCAGGAUUAAGUGUGCUGCUGGAUUCAGGGACCGUGAUGGUGCAGACUUUCUUCCUGUAUCUGAGACCCCAGUCUCAGUAGACUUCAGGAUAUGGUGUU
This 161-nucleotide long non-coding RNA is filed under the name Ictidomys tridecemlineatus (thirteen-lined ground squirrel). RNAcentral describes it as "lncRNA (ENSSTOG00000030052.1)". Lineage: Eukaryota; Metazoa; Chordata; Mammalia; Rodentia; Sciuridae. The record is from RNAcentral.